UUUCAGUUGUGAGGAAGGUAGUGUAGUUAAUAGCUGCAUUAUUUGACGUUAGCGACAGAAGAAGCACCGGCUAACUCCGUGCCAGCAGCCGCGGUAAUACGGAGGGUGCGAGCGUUAAUCGGAAUUACUGGGCGUAAAGCGCAUGCAGGUGGUUUGUUAAGUCAGAUGUGAAAGCCCGGGGCUCAACCUCGGAAUUGCAUUUGAAACUGGCAGACUAGAGUACUGUAGAGGGGGGUAGAAUUUCAGGUGUAGCGGUGAAAUGCGUAGAGAUCUGAAGGAAUACCGGUGGCGAAGGCGGCCCCCUGGACAGAUACUGACACUCAGAUGCGAAAGCGUGGGGAGCAAACAGGAUUAGAUACCCUGGUAGUCCACGCCGUAAACGAUGUCUACUUGGAGGUUGUGGCCUUGAGCCGUGGCUUUCGGAGCUAACGCGUUAAGUAGACCGCCUGGGGAGUACGGUCGCAAGAUUAAAACUCAAAUGAAUUGACGGGGGCCCGCACAAGCGGUGGAGCAUGUGGUUUAAUUCGAUGCAACGCGAAGAACCUUACCUACUCUUGACAUCCAGAGAACUUUCCAGAGAUGGAUUGGUGCCUUCGGGAACUCUGAGACAGGUGCUGCAUGGCUGUCGUCAGCUCGUGUUGUGAAAUGUUGGGUUAAGUCCCGCAACGAGCGCAACCCUUAUCCUUGUUUGCCAGCGAGUAAUGUCGGGAACUCCAGGGAGACUGCCGGUGAUAAACCGGAGGAAGGUGGGGACGACGUCAAGUCAUCAUGGCCCUUACGAGUAGGGCUACACACGUGCU
This 800-nucleotide ribosomal RNA is filed under the name Vibrio parahaemolyticus. RNAcentral's name for it is "bacterial SSU rRNA". It matches the Rfam family "Bacterial small subunit ribosomal RNA", at positions 434 to 1226 of the family's 1533-position model. Lineage: Bacteria; Pseudomonadati; Pseudomonadota; Gammaproteobacteria; Vibrionales; Vibrionaceae. The record is from RNAcentral.